ACGCUCGACACCUACGGAGGCAGCAGUGGGGAAUAUUGCACAAUGGGGGAAACCCUGAUGCAGCGACGCCGCGUGAAGGAAGAAGUAUUUCGGUAUGUAAACUUCUAUCAGCAGGGAAGAAGAAAGUGACGGUACCUGACUAAGAAGCCCCGGCUAACUACGUGCCUGCAGCCGCGGUAAUCUGAGCGGGCUGGCAAGGC
Molecule: ribosomal RNA, 200 nt
Filed under: uncultured bacterium
Lineage: Bacteria
Description: partial 16S ribosomal RNA
Rfam family: Bacterial small subunit ribosomal RNA
Source: RNAcentral